Molecule: ribozyme, 78 nt
Filed under: Streptococcus sobrinus TCI-98
Lineage: Bacteria; Bacillati; Bacillota; Bacilli; Lactobacillales; Streptococcaceae
Description: Pistol ribozyme
Rfam family: Pistol ribozyme
Source: Rfam by way of RNAcentral
AGUCGUUGUGGCGACUAUAACCAAGCUCUUUAAGCCACAAGCGUUGCUGAUGAGGUUUCAUAACAUCAGCAGGUAGAG